RNAcentral lists this transfer RNA (69 nucleotides) under Hilsa kelee (kelee shad). RNAcentral's name for it is "tRNA-Glu". It matches the Rfam family "tRNA". Rfam says of the family: Transfer RNA (tRNA) molecules are approximately 80 nucleotides in length. Their secondary structure includes four short double-helical elements and three loops (D, anti-codon, and T loops). Further hydrogen bonds mediate the characteristic L-shaped molecular structure. tRNAs have two regions of fundamental functional importance: the anti-codon, which is responsible for specific mRNA codon recognition, and the 3' end, to which the tRNAs corresponding amino acid is attached (by aminoacyl-tRNA synthetases). tRNAs cope with the degeneracy of the genetic code in two manners: having more than one tRNA (with a specific anti-codon) for a particular amino acid; and 'wobble' base-pairing, i.e. permitting non-standard base-pairing at the 3rd anti-codon position. Lineage: Eukaryota; Metazoa; Chordata; Actinopteri; Clupeiformes; Clupeidae. The record is from RNAcentral.
GCUCUUAUAGUUGAAUAACAACGGUGGUUUUUCAAGUCAUUGGUCUCGGUUAGAUUCCGUGUAGGAGUU